AUUAUUUUAUUUCAACAAAGAUCGAUUACGGUCGGAACGGAAACUUUAAUGAGGCACAAAACGUAAACUUAUCGUCGAAAUCUUUCUCGCUGGGGAAGGAGAGAAAUCAAACACGUUGAAAAGCGUUUAAAAAAUGUAAAACACUUUUGAUAAAAGUUCUUAAGGAUCUGCUGCCAUCCCUCCCUUAUCCCGCGGUCCGCCGAAAUAAAUUUCGUUGUACUACACAAAUAUUUCACGUGGCGCCCCACCAUUUAAAGUUAGUUCGAGAAACUGCUUAGCAUCUACUUAUUCACUAGAUUUUUCAACAUGAACAUCGGAGCUACGAGUUAUCCAGCCGGUCCGCGCUUCCAGACAGACGUAUAGAUCGCGGCCCAUAAAUAACGAGGAAGGGAAAGGCCCUCGUCUUUAAUACGAUCCCCGUUUCCCAAACUCAUAACCGUUGAUCUUCCGCUGGAAAUUCACGAGGAAACGCGACAAAAGUUCACCGUGCACGAUGCACACGAUGUAACAUUCAACAAACCGGUAGACAAUGUUCCAAACUAUACAACAUACAUUUUGACAAGUUCCAGUUUCGCUUCGCAAGCAGCCGGAAAUUGAACACCGGCUGUGUUUCCUGUAUCCACGGCGGCGAGCCAGAUUCCGCGAUGGUAGUUUUACCGCGCUUUCAAGACAAACCCUGAGACGACGAAACGGAUUUACACGGUUGAUUGAAGAGGAGGUUACACAGUAUCGACGUCAGCGACAAUGCUAGGCCGAAAGUUCUAGCGGGCGAUGUCGGCAAAUUGGUGAAAGGGUUGGCUUCAAACUGAAAUUGAGAGGGGUUGGACGUCGCCGGUACCCAACAUCAGAAGGGCAGAGGCGGGAUACGACGCUUCUGGGCUGUCGUGAACCCUGGCUGGAGCCACCGGUGUACUUGGCAGAGAGUGCUUUUCAUCUCCGUAAAUGGACCGGCGGAGAAGAAAUCCAGCGAACGAAACGAAGUGCCUGGGGGGGAAGAGGAGAGUUGACGAAUUUAUCGAUUCGCAUACAGAGCAAAAAUUGUGCUGCACGCGUGCACACGAGAGAUUUGAAACACGUUUGUUGGAAAUUGGAAUAUGCCUCGUGCGUAUUUAAUGAAAAUAUGAUAUUUUAAAUCGAAUUUUUCUUUUUUUCUUUUUUUUUUUCCCCCCGUCGUAACAUGUUUUGAAACAUUUAGUGCUAAAAGCAAUGCGGCGAAAUGUAAUUAAUCCUCUCGUGCGCAACAUUUCCCGAUUUUUCGUCUAUAAUAACAUUGUUUUUUUUCUCUUUUCUUUUUUUUUUUUAUUUCAGUUUAUUCGAUUAUCGAAACUAUAAGAUCAAAAGCAUCGUUCGUUUUACAAUAUAUUUUAAUAUUUGAUUAUUGUUGUUGUUCACGCGGGACGAGAAACCAAUGAGACGUGUAUAAAAACAAAAGAUUUUUUUUUAUCGAGUCACGGCAAUCA
Apis florea (little honeybee) is the source of this 1460-nucleotide long non-coding RNA. The record is from RefSeq and is a predicted model, not a curated record. NCBI's taxonomy places the organism in Eukaryota, Metazoa, Arthropoda, Insecta, Hymenoptera, Apidae.